AUGAACUCCUCCUCUGCACCGGGACCGGAUGGCCUCCCUGUGAGAUUCUUCCAGGCCUUCUGGAACGUGAUUAAACCGGAGGUCAUGGCUAUCUUCGACGAGUUCUACGUUGGCUCCAUUGAUCUCGGGCGACUCAACUACGGGAUCAUCUCGCUCAUCCCGAAGGUUACCGGGGCGUCUGACAUUCGCCAAUUUCGGCCGAUCACGGUCAUUAAUGUCACCUUCCGGAUCCUGGCUAAAGGGUACGCCAAUAGGGUGACCCUGCUGGCCGACCGUGUCAUGCAUCCCAACCAGACGACUUUCAUUAAGGGCCCGUACAUCCUGGAUGGGGUGCUAGUCCUUCAUGAAGUCCUCCAUGAGGUCCGCUCCAAAAACCUCAAGGUGGUCUUUCUGAAGAUUGACUUCCAUAAAGCUUACGACACGGUUAGCUGGCCCUUCCUUAGGGAGGUCCUUCUUCGGAAGGGCUUUGACGACCGGUGGAUUACUCGUGUCAUGCAAAUGGUCACGUGCGGUCGUACGGCCGUGAACAUCAAUGGCGAGAUUGGCCCUUUCUUCCCCACUAAGGGAGUCCCGGACUAG
RNAcentral lists this ribosomal RNA (579 nucleotides) under Triticum aestivum (bread wheat). Its description in RNAcentral is "partial small subunit ribosomal RNA". The record is from RNAcentral. Lineage: Eukaryota; Viridiplantae; Streptophyta; Magnoliopsida; Poales; Poaceae.